AUUGAACGCUGGCGGCAUGCCUUACACAUGCAAGUCGAACGGUAACAGGCCGCAAGGUGCUGACGAGUGGCGAACGGGUGAGUAAUGCAUCGGAACGUGCCCAGUCGUGGGGGAUAACUGCUCGAAAGAGCAGCUAAUACCGCAUACGACCUGAGGGUGAAAGCGGGGGACCGUAAGGCCUCGCGCGAUUGGAGCGGCCGAUGUCAGAUUAGGUAGUUGGUGAGGUAAAGGCGUCACCAAGCCAACGAUCUGUAGCUGGUCUGAGAGGACGACCAGCCACACUGGGACUGAGACACGGCCCAGACUCCUACGGGAGGCAGCAGUGGGGAAUUUUGGACAAUGGACGCAAGUCUGAUCCAGCCAUGCCGCGUGCGGGAAGAAGGCCUCGGUUGUAACGCUUUGUCAGGAGAAAGGCUCCGGAUAUAACCUGGGCGUCAUGACGGUACCUGAAGAAUAAGACACCGGCUAACUACGUGCCAGCAGCC
RNAcentral lists this ribosomal RNA (485 nucleotides) under uncultured bacterium. RNAcentral describes it as "bacterial SSU rRNA". It matches the Rfam family "Bacterial small subunit ribosomal RNA", at positions 29 to 516 of the family's 1533-position model. The record is from RNAcentral.